Molecule: ribosomal RNA, 456 nt
Filed under: uncultured Proteiniphilum sp.
Lineage: Bacteria; Pseudomonadati; Bacteroidota; Bacteroidia; Bacteroidales; Dysgonomonadaceae
Description: bacterial SSU rRNA
Rfam family: Bacterial small subunit ribosomal RNA
Source: RNAcentral
AAGCGGAGGAACAUGUGGUUUAAUUCGAUGAUACGCGAGGAACCUUACCCGGGCUUGAAAUGCAUCUGACCGGCCUUGAAAGAGGCACUCCCUUCGGGGCAGAUGUGUAGGUGCUGCAUGGUUGUCGUCAGCUCGUGCCGUGAGGUGUCGGCUUAAGUGCCAUAACGAGCGCAACCCUCAUCAUUAGUUACCAUCAGGUAAGGCUGGGGACUCUAAUGAGACUGCCAUCGUAAGAUGUGAGGAAGGUGGGGAUGACGUCAAAUCAGCACGGCCCUUACGUCCGGGGCGACACACGUGUUACAAUGGGUGGUACAAAGGGCAGCUACCUGGCGACAGGAUGCUAAUCUCGAAAACCGCUCUCAGUUCGGAUCGGAGUCUGCAACUCGACUCCGUGAAGCUGGAUUCGCUAGUAAUCGCGCAUCAGCCACGGCGCGGUAGAAUACGUUCCCGGGCCUU